Molecule: ribosomal RNA, 301 nt
Filed under: uncultured bacterium
Lineage: Bacteria
Description: partial 16S ribosomal RNA
Rfam family: Bacterial small subunit ribosomal RNA
Source: RNAcentral
CAGUAGCCACGGGAACACGGAGGGAGCUAGCGUUGUUCGGAAUUACUGGGCGUAAAGCGCACGUAGGCGGCUUUGUAAGUUAGAGGUGAAAGCCUGGAGCUCAACUCCAGAAUUGCCUUUAAGACUGCAUCGCUUGAACCCAGGAGAGGUGAGUGGAAUUCCGAGUGUAGAGGUGAAAUUCGUAGAUAUUCGGAAGAACACCAGUGGCGAAGGCGGCUCACUGGACUGGUAUUGACGCUGAGGUGCGAAAGCGUGGGGGGCAAACAGGAUUAGAUACCCCUGUAGUCCCUGUCUCUUAUAC